RNAcentral lists this long non-coding RNA (970 nucleotides) under Parus major (Great Tit). RNAcentral's name for it is "lncRNA (ENSPMJG00000011510.1)". The record is from RNAcentral. Lineage: Eukaryota; Metazoa; Chordata; Aves; Passeriformes; Paridae.
GGUAUGUCUUCUGAAGUACUAGGUACUCUUCUGGAUGCCAUUUGCCUUGGCGGUAGAGUUCACCCUUGAGCCAUGUUUUAAAAUGUAAAAAUAUGCAUAGAGAGAGGGAUAACAGGUAUCUGAGAAUAUCUGUAGACCUUUACGUGAAGAAUCUUCUGCACUGACAUUUCUUACAGGGUGGCUGGAAAAAAUCACAUCCCUCUUUCCACUCUGUCACUGACAGGUGUUGCAUAUUAUGAAACUAAAUAUCUAAGUGCUUAACACUGUGUAGGGAUUCUAGACUAUGACAUGCAUUCCUAGCAUCCAAUGUCUAAAGCUUUUUAUAGUUCCUGCCUGGUGUGUGUCUCUGGAGCCAAAAGGAAGGUUAAGUGGUUUUGCUUCCUCUGAUAUCAGACAAAGCUUUCAGUGAACAACUUUCAGGGCUUGUAUUCAAAGGAUAUCUGAGAUGGGACCUUGCAUGACCAGACUAGCAGGAGUGGGUUUGCUGUCCUGGUGUAUUUCUGCAGGGCAGUGCCCUGCAAAGCUGAGUAGGAAGGUUCAGCACUGCCCUGUCACAGCUUGGCUGAGCAGUGAUUAGGUUUUCAUUCCCAAAUGUGUCAUCUGUGAGAUUUGCAGGCCAUUUCCUUGAUAUAAGGGGGAAACUAGAGGAAAGUUGUGAUUAAACUGCUGAAGUGAUUGAUGUAGGCAGUUGCUGUGAUCCUGGCCCAUGGCCAACAUCACUGGGAAGCUGCAGUGCCUGGAAGCACAGGAAGCACAGGGAUAUGGAGCAAACAGUGACAAUCUGCCAAUUUCAUCUGUGAAUGUAUGGACUCAGGAGACAGGCUAUCAUCUCUUGGAGGAAGCAGUUAUGGGACAGUGUGUGUCAGCUGGAAGAUGAAGGGCCCUGUGCUCCUUUAAAGAGGCUGAUGUGGCUCCAGCACAGUGACACCAGCGCCAGUGAGGGUCAGGCAAACCCAGGGACAGACUGGAU